This 99-nucleotide unclassified non-coding RNA is filed under the name Strigomonas culicis. RNAcentral describes it as "trans-spliced leader sequence SL". The record is from RNAcentral. Lineage: Eukaryota; Euglenozoa; Kinetoplastea; Trypanosomatida; Trypanosomatidae.
AACUAACGCUAUAUUUGUUACAGUUUCUGUACUUUAUUGGUAAGUAUACCUUCCGGAACCACUUCCGGUCAAAUUUUGACACGAGGCCCUCGGGCUUCA